RNAcentral lists this ribosomal RNA (468 nucleotides) under uncultured bacterium. RNAcentral's name for it is "partial 16S ribosomal RNA". It matches the Rfam family "Bacterial small subunit ribosomal RNA", at positions 28 to 507 of the family's 1533-position model. The record is from RNAcentral.
GACGAACGCUGGCGGCGUGCUUAACACAUGCAAGUCGAACGGAAAGGCCCUGCUUUUGUGGGGUGCUCGUGUGGCGAACGGGUGAGUAACACGUGAGUAACCUGCCCUUGACUUUGGGAUAACUUCAGGAAACUGGGGCUAAUACCGGAUAGGAGCUCUUGCUGCAUGGUGGGGGUUGGUAAGUUUCGGCGGUUGGGGAUGGUCUCGCGGGUUAUCGGCUUCUUGGGGGGGUAGGGGUUUACCAAGGUUUUGAAGGGUAGCCGGCCUGAGAGGUUGGCCGGCCACAUGGGGCCUGAGAGACGGCCCAGACGCCUACGGGACGCAGCAGUGGGGAAUAUUGCACAAUGGGCGGAAGCCUGAUGCAGCGACGCCGCGUGCGGGAUGACGGCCUUCGAGUUGUAAACCGCUUUCGCCGGUGACGAAGCGGGAGUGACGGUAAUGGGUAAGGAAGCACCGGCUAACUACGUG